Molecule: long non-coding RNA, 341 nt
Filed under: Sinocyclocheilus grahami
Lineage: Eukaryota; Metazoa; Chordata; Actinopteri; Cypriniformes; Cyprinidae
Description: lncRNA (ENSSGRG00000030947.1)
Source: RNAcentral
CUCACCUGCCUCUAACUUUCUAGUGAUCCUGCAGACCUUGAUGAGCUUGUUCAGGUGUGCUUGAUUAGAGCUGGAGCUAAACCCUGCAGGAAAAUGGACCUCGAGGGCCAGAGUUGAGAAACCCCUGCACUAUAUCAUCAACAAUGCAUCAGUAGAUGGCACUGUAACCAAAGAGCAAGUGGAUGAUUUGAUGGACGCUGAUGUGGAGGCGAGCACUGAAAUAGAUGAAAUCCUCCAGCAGAUCGUGGAAUUGGAUAAAUGGAGAGAGAUAUUUAACUCCCGCGGGUUGGAAUUACCACAGGACUAUCUUAAAAGACCUAAUGAGAAGAUCAAAUCUGAAG